Molecule: small RNA, 33 nt
Filed under: Bombyx mori (domestic silkworm)
Lineage: Eukaryota; Metazoa; Arthropoda; Insecta; Lepidoptera; Bombycidae
Description: ovarian small RNA-14760
Source: RNAcentral
CUGAAAUACCUGCAGUCAGUUCGUGAGUGUCUU